UCGAACCGCAACCCAGGUCAGGCGGGAUUACCGC
RNAcentral lists this ribosomal RNA (34 nucleotides) under Hygrophila corymbosa. Its description in RNAcentral is "partial 28S ribosomal RNA". The record is from RNAcentral. Lineage: Eukaryota; Viridiplantae; Streptophyta; Magnoliopsida; Lamiales; Acanthaceae.